This 492-nucleotide ribosomal RNA is filed under the name uncultured bacterium. RNAcentral describes it as "partial 16S ribosomal RNA". It matches the Rfam family "Bacterial small subunit ribosomal RNA", at positions 29 to 507 of the family's 1533-position model. The record is from RNAcentral.
AGUGAACGCUGGCGGUAGGCCUAACACAUGCAAGUCGAACGGCGGCACAGUAAGAGCUUGCUCUUAUGGGUGGCGAGUGGCGGACGGGUGAGGUAUACAUCGUAAUCUACUCUUUCGUGGGGGAUAACGUAGGGAAACUUACGCUAAUACCGCAUACGCCCUACGGGUGAAAGCAGGGGAUCUUCGGACCUUGCGCGAUUGAAUGAGCCGAUGUCGGAUUAGCUAGUUGGCGGGGUAAAGGCCCACCAAGGCGACGAUCCGUAGCUGGUCUGAGAGGAUGAUCAGCCACACUGGAACUGAGACACGGUCCAGACUCCUACGGGAGGCAGCAGUGGGGAAUAUUGGACAAUGGGCGCAAGCCUGAUCCAGCCAUACCGCGUGGGUGAAGAAGGCCUUCGGGUUGUAAAGCCCUUUUGUUGGGAAAGAAAAGCAGCAGGUUAAUACCCCGCUGUUCUGACGGUACCCAAAGAAUAAGCACCGGCUAACUUCGUG